ACUUGAUGUCUAGGGCAUUUAUGCAGAAGAUCCCUAAAGCGCUCCCAAGUCUCGAAAAAUUGUUCCCUAUCUAUUUGUGAGAAAGUAGUGAUUGCAUUCCUCAAGU
Malania oleifera is the source of this 106-nucleotide small nucleolar RNA. The record is from RefSeq and is a predicted model, not a curated record. Lineage: Eukaryota; Viridiplantae; Streptophyta; Magnoliopsida; Santalales; Ximeniaceae.